Molecule: long non-coding RNA, 264 nt
Organism: Pimephales promelas (fathead minnow)
Lineage: Eukaryota; Metazoa; Chordata; Actinopteri; Cypriniformes; Leuciscidae
Source: RefSeq, a predicted model, not a curated record
GGAAAAAAGGUUUUAUGGAUUUUACUCAAAUAUAAAGAUCUGAAAUGUCUGCAGACUGGUGUGAGGACUGAGGAUGAGGAGCCCAGUGCUGCAUCUUGGAAGUGGUGACAUGGAUGAGACCCUCCAUCUCUCCACCUGGCCUUAUGAGAACCUCUAUCGCUCCAUCUGCCCUUAUUGCCUCAGAUUGUGAAGCGCUUGCAGUAGGAUGUGGUGUUCAGCGCAUGCUUGUAGUUUGAAUAAAGCUUUUCUUUUAUGUGUUGUUGA